AAACACAACAUCAGUGAUCUACAGUUAUUACAUCGAUACACAUCGAGUUUUUCACAAGUUGAGUCACCUCAAAUUUAACUCCAAACAUCAUCAUGUACAAGUUAUUGUUUUUGGUUUUUGCCACUCUGGCUUUGAUCGCUGUUGCUUCUUCUCAAACAAUUUACACCUACCCUCAAACCUACGCACCGGUAUACACCUAUCCAUUGUACCACUACACUUACCCUGUGUCUUAUAAUCCAUACAUCACUCUACUUCGUCGAUAAAUACAUUUUCUACCAAAUUUAUAACCAUCUGGAGUUUUCUACAGUUAUUUAAUACCCAUUGUACGAAAACGAUGAUAACGGAAAAUAUAUUUACUUCACUACA
Molecule: long non-coding RNA, 366 nt
Organism: Melanaphis sacchari
Lineage: Eukaryota; Metazoa; Arthropoda; Insecta; Hemiptera; Aphididae
Exons: 3
Source: RefSeq, a predicted model, not a curated record